GACGAACGCUGGCGGCGUGCCUAAUACAUGCAAGUCGAACGAGAGCAACCGGUGCUUGCACUGGUCAAUCUAGUGGCGAACGGGUGAGUAACACGUGGGUAACCUGCCCAUCAGAGGGGGAUAACAUCCGGAAACGGAUGCUAAAACUGCAUAGGUCUUCGAACCGCAUGGUUUGAAGAGGAAAAGAGGCGCAAGCUUCUGCUGAUGGAUGGACCCGCGGUGCAUUAGCUAGUUGGUGAGGUAACGGCUCACCAAGGCCGUGAUGCAUAGCCGACCUGAGAGGGUGAUCGGCCACAUUGGGACUGAGACACGGCCCAAACUCCUACGGGAGGCAGCAGUAGGGAAUCUUCCGCAAUGGACGCAAGUCUGACGGAGCAACGCCGCGUGAGUGAAGAAGGUUUUCGGAUCGUAAAACUCUGUUGUUAGAGAAGAACAAGUGCUAGAGUAACUGUUAGCGCCUUGACGGUAGCUAACCAGAAAGCCACGGCUAACUACGUG
RNAcentral lists this ribosomal RNA (498 nucleotides) under uncultured bacterium. Its description in RNAcentral is "partial 16S ribosomal RNA". It matches the Rfam family "Bacterial small subunit ribosomal RNA", at positions 28 to 507 of the family's 1533-position model. The record is from RNAcentral.